RNAcentral lists this ribosomal RNA (319 nucleotides) under uncultured eukaryote. Its description in RNAcentral is "partial 18S ribosomal RNA". It matches the Rfam family "Eukaryotic small subunit ribosomal RNA", at positions 1470 to 1796 of the family's 1831-position model. The record is from RNAcentral.
CCCUUAGAUGAUUUGGGCUGCACGCGCGCUACACUGACCCUAACAAUGUGCAACUGUCUGGCCUGAGAUGGCUGGGUAGCCUUUUCAACCCAUGUCAUGAUUGGGCUAGAUUUUUGUAAGUCUUGAUCUCUAACGAGGAAUCCCUAGUAUGCGUGAAUCAUCAAUCCAUGCAGAUUAUGUCCCUGCCCUUUGUACACACCGCCCGUCGCUCCUACUGAUUGGGUGAUCCGGUGAGCUGUUCGGCCAUAGCAAUGUUUCUUGAGCAGGGCAAUGAAUGUUUCGCAAACCUUGCCACUUAGAGGAAGGAGAAGUCGUAACA